This 90-nucleotide transfer RNA is filed under the name Acetobacter orientalis. RNAcentral's name for it is "tRNA-Ser". It matches the Rfam family "tRNA". Rfam says of the family: Transfer RNA (tRNA) molecules are approximately 80 nucleotides in length. Their secondary structure includes four short double-helical elements and three loops (D, anti-codon, and T loops). The record is from RNAcentral. Lineage: Bacteria; Pseudomonadati; Pseudomonadota; Alphaproteobacteria; Acetobacterales; Acetobacteraceae.
GGAGAGGUGCCGGAGCGGUCGAACGGGGCGGUCUCGAAAACCGUUGUGCUAGCAAUAGUACCCAGGGUUCGAAUCCCUGUCUCUCCGCCA